Vombatus ursinus (common wombat) is the source of this 867-nucleotide long non-coding RNA. RefSeq lists it as uncharacterized. NCBI's taxonomy places the organism in Eukaryota, Metazoa, Chordata, Mammalia, Diprotodontia, Vombatidae. The transcript has 4 exons. The record is from RefSeq and is a predicted model, not a curated record.
GAAGGCGGAAGGCAGGAGAGGACUCCCCAGGGUCAGCAGGCCUGCCAAUGGACUGGAAAGCCCGGGAGUAAGUCCCUCCAGUUCCUGUCUGCUGCAAGAAGGAGGCUGAAACCCAAGCAGAUGGUAAUGAAAAUACAAAACAAGCCUUUGGAGGACAAAUCAUUGUUUCACCCGAGGCUCUCUGCCUUUACCCUGAGGUUGGAAUAAGCUUCCUGGUUUCUUCUUUGCCUAUAACCAACAAAAGACAAGCAGUAUCUUAAAAUCUAACUGGGAGACUGUUCCAUAGGCUGCUUCUGGGCCCCCACCUCAAUUGACUCCUCUUACUAGUCCAUCAUCUUCACAUGGAAUGAUAUGUAACUGAUAAAUUAUGAAAAAAAAGGAACCUGAUGGUUUUAUGAAAUGUGAGAUGGCCUCAAGGCAACCCGAGAGACUCAGUCUAAUUCUAGCAGAGACUUGCACUCUGUCUGGCCUGCUUUGUGCAAGUUAUAUUGAUAUAAUAAGACUCCGGAGAAUUUGCUUGACUUCUAAUAUUAUUCACCAGGGUUGCCUGACGUGGAAAACUAUUGAUCCUCCAGGACUGAUAGCAUUUCUUCCAGAGGACGUGGUAACCUGGCGUUGUGAGGGUGAAAGGAGAUCUCACAGAAAAGCAAAGCCUUUGUACAAAUGCAAGGGUAAAAACUGUUUCUGUGUUUGUAUCCUCAGCAUUCAGAAUAGUUCAGUGCACAUAAUGGAUUCUUGUUAAAUGUUUGCUGAAUUACUAUUACAUUGGACCUACACUUUAAUCCACCUCCUAAAGAGAAGUGAUGGACUUCGGAUACAAAAUGAGACAUGCAUUUUUGGACACCACCAAGGAGGGAAUUUCAGGAG